GGUCCUGUCACUCAUUUUUUUGUCUUUGUAGUCCGGGAGGCCCAAAGUAGCCCCUUCUCCCUGCUUUCAGAAUUUGCCUUUCUCUGGUUACCUGGGAGGGGCUGCAUCUUCUCGGAGGGCUAUUGAAAAUUUUUACUUUUUUGUUGGGGAAUUGUUUCAUCCUUUUCUGGGCUACUGGACACUCUUCCAUCGCUCCACUUCUAGUUCCUCAGCCCCUAGUCCCCAGGAUUUUCCUUGCAGUUGAUGCCCUGUUCCAGUAUAGCUAAGGGGCAGAGUGUCAGAAAGGUGACAAGGAGUGGGAGUGGGGUCUGUACUUCUGGAAUACUCCUGUUUUGCUUUUAAAACUAUCAUCAUACUUUAUUUUUAUAGUAAAAAAAAUUCAGUAAAACAAGAAUUCAAUGUGGGAAGUAGCAACAAAAAAAGGGUGGGCAUGUUUUGUAAAGAAAAAAGGUUUCCUGCGUCCAUUGGAAAGCACCAUUAAUUUUGGUUAAUUUUUACCGAAUAGAACAUGAAUUCUUUUGGCCACAUAGGAAAUAGUUUUUAAAAUAGGCUAAGGUAUUUGAACAUCUAAAAUGAAAUAUUUCUCAAUAAGAUAAGCGUAUUUCCAUAUGAUCUGUAAAUUGAUCCACAGAGAGCUGUUCAGUUGUCCAAUCUUAUUUAUUUUGGACAAAUAAUGUGCUACUUUUUUCUCCUUCUGGGAUAGCUUUUAAGUUGCAUAAAUAAAUGAUCCUGUCUUGUUCUGUUACAGAAACACAUUUAUUUAAUAUUCCCAAACCAUUGCUGACUGCUGUGUGUGAACCUCCUGUAAUUUGAUGGCUGUAACCAUGACAGUUUUGAACACCUGUCUUCGGAUUAGGUUCCUGUUAAUGAUUCAACUCUGGGAAAAAGGAAAAGCUGUGAGGCCAAGGAAACUGAGUGUGGUGGGUGCAGGGUGGUCAAAUUCUCCCUGCCCUGUCAGGAGGAGGAGGGAGGUGCUGUCUCUCUACUCCCUCCCAUAUACCAGAGCCGCUCAUCUCCUGCGUUCAGGCACCUGGCUCAGUUGCUCACUCCCAAAAUAUAUCUGGACAAGUGACCAAGACGCAGACCUGGUUAAAUGUCUUUGGCUCCUUCCGUCCCUUCCCGAAGUUCCCAGAGGUAACCCAUUGAUGCAUAGAAAGGAAUGCUGUUUUUACCUGACCCUGCAGCUGACGAUUUGUGAAACCUGUGAUUUCACAAAAAGGUUUUUGUGAUCACACAAAAUGUGAUUGCUGGGGGAAGUUCCCAGGCCUGACUGCUGUCUAUCCUUAUUCGUGGUUACCAGUGAACCUUGCUCCAAACACUGUCAGCUACUACCACCUGGCCUAAGAGAUGCAGCCUCCUGGGCCUCUCACUUCUGAUCUCCUUAGCUCCAGGGGACACAGGAAGAGUCUAGCCUUGCUGCAAGGUUACUGCCUGCCAGUGCACAUCCACCUUGGUGUCCUCUCAACCAAAUGUAUGCCCAGGGAAAAAUCCCCACUGAUGAGCCCAGAGUAGGUGUUCUCACCCGGUCAACUCUGUGGACCACCUGAAAUUGCAUUCACCUGCAAAGUUUUGUUUGGGAUUAUAUGUGUGGCUAAAUGCAUUUUUUUUUUUUUCAGGAACAGAGAUCAUCGACCUCAUCAGUUUCUCAAGGGGUUGGUAAUCCCCACCCCACAAAAAGUUAAGAGUUAAUACAAUGGCCAAGAGGGUCUGUGUUAUGUAUGUAUAAUAGUCCAGAUUAGGAAUCUUGUAUUUUGUUCUGGUAAUACAAGUAAUAUAUACUAGUGGUUAAAAAUAUUCAAAACAAUAGGAAAUAUAUAAAGUAUACAGGGAAAGAACCUUGUGUUAUCUUUUCCACUCCCAGCCACUGUCAACCGUUUCCAACUUUCUUUUUAGACACAUAUUAGUAAGUGCGUUUGUGCUUAUUAAUCAAGUUCCAAAUUUUUGUGAUAGUCUUAUUAAUUCUAAUUUAAAGUGAUACCUUUGGCUUAUCUUGGUAUUAUAUAUAAUCAUUUGUAAAUGAUGAGUUUUCAUUUCUUCCUUUCCAACAUUUAUGCCCCCUUUUGUUUCUUCUUCUGCAUGAGUUGUUCUUGGUUAAAUUAGACAUAAACAAAAAUAUCCUUAAUCUGAUGAAGAAUAUAUCAGAAGUUCUUCUGAUCUGGCAGAUUUGUCCCUCCCUGUGGUCUGCCAAGAUCACAGAACUUAAUGACUGGCAUUGACUAGAACUUCCUUAACAGCCUCCUGAUCUUGUUCUUGAAGUCAGUGGGAAUGCCUCUUUUGUUUCAUUAUUUAGUAUAACUUUUAUUGUUUGGAUUGAAGUAUUUUCUUUUUUUUUUUCAAGGCUAAUUUCACUUAUGUUUACCAGUCUGUCUCUUUCUCUCUUUUGCACGUGCACACACACAUGUAGUACAAAGAAAUACUAUCAGUGAAUGGAGGCAAGUCGUUAAGUUCUGUAAUCUUGAUAGACCAGAGAGAGGGAUGAAUCUGCCAGAUCAGAAGAGCUCCUGAUAUCUUCUUCAUCAGGUAUUUUCAGGACUGCAGAGAUGAACAUUAGUGAGUCCAAAUAGAAGUGGUGAAGGGAGCAGAGAAGAGGAUGGGCCUGUUUCCCAGAGAAGUAGAAAUGACCAGUAGCUCAGGAGAAGAUGCUGUUUCUUCCGGUGGUGUGACUGUGGCCUAAGAAGGUGGAGGAGGAGAGGGAGGAAACCCAUCCAGAUCCUUGUAGGUUGGUGUGAAGGCAGGGCAGUGUCAGCAGCAGAAAUGGUUGACGUUGGUGACUUCAGGAGGUGGAGGGAAGAAAGUGGUUAUCAUGUAGCAGAGCGAUGGAGGACUGUGAAAUAAGAGACAGACUGACAACCUGCACCCUGAACAGGGAAAGGUCUGGGUCUGGACGCACAUUCAGAUGUUGGUGCAUCCACUGAGCACUAAGUCCAAAUUGUCUCCUCUUUGUUCCUGUCUGGUUUUCGCUUCCGUCUGUCUGUGUCUGCUGCUCUGUCCAUCAGUGGUGGGUUUUCCACGCAAAAGGAGGAGAAGCUUAAAGGUUCAUUUCCUUCCUCCUUCCCCUCCCCCUAAACACUCAGUCCCUACAUCCAAGUUGACUGCGGCUUCAAACUCCUGCUCUCAAUGUGUUCUCACUAGACUAAGGGAGCACCCCUGAGACAUUCACAGUGCUGUAGCAUGGGCGGAGCUUAGAACUCGGACUUGAUAGCAGUGGGACUGGUGAUUCCGGCUCGUGCCUCGUACUACUGACUGACCUGUGGUAGAGAGCAGAAAAAGAAGAGACCAGCUGAUUUGAAAAACAAUAAUCAUGUCUACAAAAGUUUAGAAAAUACAGAAAACUAUAAGAAAUAA
Molecule: long non-coding RNA, 3345 nt
Organism: Macaca mulatta (Rhesus monkey)
Lineage: Eukaryota; Metazoa; Chordata; Mammalia; Primates; Cercopithecidae
Source: RefSeq, a predicted model, not a curated record